ACGCACGCUGGCGGCGUUCUUAACACAUGCAAGUCGAACGGAAAGGCCCUGCUUUUGUGGGGUGCUCGAGUGGCGAACGGGUGAGUAACACGUGAGUAACCUGCCCUUGACUUUGGGAUAACUUCAGGAAACUGGGGCUAAUACCGGAUAGGAGCUCCUGCUGCAUGGUGGGGGUUGGAAAGUUUCGGCGGUUGGGGAUGGACUCGCGGCUUAUCAGCUUGUUGGUGGGGUAGUGGCUUACCAAGGCUUUGACGGGUAGCCGGCCUGAGAGGGUGACCGGCCACAUUGGGACUGAGAUACGGCCCAGACUCCUACGGGAGGCAGCAGUGGGGAAUAUUGCACAAUGGGCGGAAGCCUGAUGCAGCAACGCCGCGUGCGGGAUGACGGCCUUCGGGUUGUAAACCGCUUUCGCCUGUGACGAAGCGUGAGUGACGGUAAUGGGUAAAGAAGCACCGGCUAACUACGUG
Molecule: ribosomal RNA, 467 nt
Filed under: uncultured bacterium
Lineage: Bacteria
Description: partial 16S ribosomal RNA
Rfam family: Bacterial small subunit ribosomal RNA
Source: RNAcentral